UGGGGAAUAUUGCACAAUGGGCGAAAGCCUGAUGCAGCAACGCCGCGUGAGCGAUGAAGGCCUUCGGGUCGUAAAGCUCUGUCCUCAAGGAAGAUAAUGACGGUACUUGAGGAGGAAGCCCCGGCUAACUACGUGCCAGCAGCCGCGGUAAUACGUAGGGGGCUAGCGUUAUCCGGAAUUACUGGGCGUAAAGGGUGCGUAGGCGGUCUUUCAAGUCAGAAGUGAAAGGCUACGGCUCAACCGUAGUAAGCUUUUGAAACUGGAAGACUUGAGUGCAGGAGAGGAGAGUGGAAUUCCUAGUGUAGCGGUGAAAUGCGUAGAUAUUAGGAGGAACACCAGUUGCGAAGGCGGCUCUCUGGACUGUAACUGACGCUGAGGCACGAAAGCGUGGGGAGCAAACA
Molecule: ribosomal RNA, 401 nt
Filed under: uncultured prokaryote
Description: bacterial SSU rRNA
Rfam family: Bacterial small subunit ribosomal RNA
Source: RNAcentral